This 561-nucleotide ribosomal RNA is filed under the name Bifidobacterium animalis subsp. lactis. RNAcentral's name for it is "bacterial SSU rRNA". It matches the Rfam family "Bacterial small subunit ribosomal RNA", at positions 146 to 708 of the family's 1533-position model. Lineage: Bacteria; Bacillati; Actinomycetota; Actinomycetes; Bifidobacteriales; Bifidobacteriaceae. The record is from RNAcentral.
UCUCCUGGAAAACGGGUGGUAAUACCGGAUGCUCCGCUCCAUCGCAUGGUGGGGUGGGAAAUGCUUUUGCGGCAUGGGAUGGGGUCGCGUCCUAUCAGCUUGUUGGCGGGGUGAUGGCCCACCAAGGCGUUGACGGGUAGCCGGCCUGAGAGGGUGACCGGCCACAUUGGGACUGAGAUACGGCCCAGACUCCUACGGGAGGCAGCAGUGGGGAAUAUUGCACAAUGGGCGCAAGCCUGAUGCAGCGACGCCGCGUGCGGGAUGGAGGCCUUCGGGUUGUAAACCGCUUUUGUUCAAGGGCAAGGCACGGUUUCGGCCGUGUUGAGUGGAUUGUUCGAAUAAGCACCGGCUAACUACGUGCCAGCAGCCGCGGUAAUACGUAGGGUGCGAGCGUUAUCCGGAUUUAUUGGGCGUAAAGGGCUCGUAGGCGGUUCGUCGCGUCCGGUGUGAAAGUCCAUCGCCUAACGGUGGAUCUGCGCCGGGUACGGGCGGGCUGGAGUGCGGUAGGGGAGACUGGAAUUCCCGGUGUAACGGUGGAAUGUGUAGAUAUCGAAAAAAAAA